AGAAACUCCUCCAGCUGCAUCUUUCUAUGUACCGAAACACGAAAAAACACAGCGCUUUUCUCUGUGAGCAUAGCUUCACUCAUACAGACUCCUGUGAAGAAAGGUGAGCAGCUGAGGAAGGCAGCUAAACGAAGAACUUUGAAGAUGGUUUCAAGAUACCAGCUGGCUACCAGACAACAUGGACAACUAAUCCAGCGUACACACA
Non-coding RNA from Plectropomus leopardus (leopard coralgrouper), 205 nucleotides. The record is from RefSeq and is a predicted model, not a curated record. NCBI's taxonomy places the organism in Eukaryota, Metazoa, Chordata, Actinopteri, Perciformes, Serranidae.